UGCGACAUUGUCCCACCUCAGAGC
Molecule: non-coding RNA, 24 nt
Filed under: Mus musculus (house mouse)
Lineage: Eukaryota; Metazoa; Chordata; Mammalia; Rodentia; Muridae
Source: RNAcentral